Molecule: long non-coding RNA, 260 nt
Filed under: Elaeis guineensis (African oil palm)
Lineage: Eukaryota; Viridiplantae; Streptophyta; Magnoliopsida; Arecales; Arecaceae
Description: long non-coding RNA (EGUI_LNC058615)
Source: RNAcentral
UCGUUCAUCAACAUAUCACUAUAGUUGCCCCAUCAGAUGAGUGCUUCAAUCUCCUCCUUGAGCUGCUAAUAUUUCUCGAUAUCAUGAUCGUGGUCUCAAUGAUAUUAGCAAUACUUUCUUAUAUUCCUCGCAUAUGAUGGGGUUGUUAUCUUCCUUGGCUUUAGGAGAUCAGCUCCUUGAUGCUCUAUCUCCAUUAGUAUAUGUGAUCAGGGAGUGUUGAGCGAAGUGAAGUUGUUAAAACUCUGAGGUGGGGACUUAGA